AAGGGAAGAGGUCCUGGAGUGUCCCCUUCCAGGAAUACCUGCCGUCACCUACCUUCCUCCCAUCAGGCACCAGCUCCUAAAAGAUCCGCUGCCUCUCUGAGAGCUACAGGCUUUGGGACACAUUGCAAACCACAGCACAAAACAAAACCCGUUUGGAAGUACUUUGAAUUUAUACCCACUUCUAACAUGAAGGGAAGCAUAAGUGGGCUCCCCUCUAGGCCUUGCUGUUAUUGACUUACUCUAUGGUAGAACUACAGGAGCCACGCACUAUAAUUGAUAUGAUGAUUUAAGGAAAAGCACACCAUAGAAGGCUGAGCACCAGGAAGUGUUCAUCUGUCUCAGCCUCAGUGGAUGCUCCAUUGUGUUCCAUGCAGGGCGUUUCCUGAACCGUGAUACUCUUACCUCAUUGCCCGUGUGCUGUGCACAUUGAUCGACGUUCCUUCCCUUUCCCAACGUUCAAAUCUGGGGGAGAGAGGGAAGGAAGACCAUGCCUGGAGAAAAUCCCACGGUGGUAAAUACAGAUGGCUCACUCAGACACUGACGGACGUGCUGGAUGCUGACAGACAUGGUGACAUGCUCUGUAAUGAUCCUCAGCCAGUCACAGGUUCUUUAUUUCUUUCUGUCUCUCUCUCAAAAAAAAAACAAAACCAAACAAAAAGCAAACCAAAGAAGGAGGAGGAGGAGCAGGAAGAGGAGGAGGAAGAGGAAGAAGAAGAAGAGGAGGAGGAGGAAGAGGAGGAAGAAGAAAAUAAAAACAAACUAGCUAAAAACAAACUCUCCAAAACCAAGAAGAUAAAAACAAAACAAAAAGCACAAAAAAAAAAAAAAAAA
RNAcentral lists this long non-coding RNA (831 nucleotides) under Rattus norvegicus (Norway rat). RNAcentral describes it as "long non-coding RNA NONRATT017837". Lineage: Eukaryota; Metazoa; Chordata; Mammalia; Rodentia; Muridae. The record is from RNAcentral.